ACUUGGUUGAUCCUGCCGGGAGCUAUAUGCUUGUCUCAAAACUUAAGCCAUGCAAGUGCAAAUUCACACCAUACAUUAGAACAGGCGAAACCGCGAAUUUUUCAUAACCGGACAUAAUCCUUUGGAUCCUAAAACGAUAGAUAACUGUGGCAGUUCUAGAGCGAAUGCAUGUGACACAGGUCUAGAUCGGUUAGCGCGUUGUCAUCGUAUAUCUACCGUCACGUGCUUGGGCACAUGAGUUGACCAUUACGGGUCGCGGCACUACAUAUUAGACUGACACUGAUGCAGGUCAUUUCGUCCUCUCGUCGUCGUGGUACGCGCAGUGUGCGGCGACCGAACCAAAGACUUUGUUGACUCUAGAUAUCUCAAAGGUCUUUUGCACUGGCUUUCACGUCUAGCGACAGGUCUCUCAAGGUCCCACCUUAUCAACUGUUGACAGUCGUUGAAGUACCUACCGUGGAUACAACAGGUUUCGUGGAAUCGCGUUCAAUUCCGGAGAGGGAUCAUGCGAAACGGCUACCACAUCCAAGGAAGGCAGCAGGCACGCAAAUUAACCACUCCCUGCACGGUGAGAUAGUGACGAAAAAUGUUGAGGUCACGCGAUCGGACUGAGUACACGUCAAAUCCGUUGACGAAGAACAACCAGAGGGCAGGUGUUGGCGCCAGCAGCCGCGGCAAUCCCAGCUCCAGUAGCGUAUAUUAAUUUUGUUCCGGUUAAAUGCUUGUAGACCAAACUAGACUUUGACACUUUAGU
Acanthosepion pharaonis is the source of this 754-nucleotide non-coding RNA. The record is from the annotation of a GenBank genome assembly. Lineage: Eukaryota; Metazoa; Mollusca; Cephalopoda; Sepiida; Sepiidae.